This 80-nucleotide microRNA precursor is filed under the name Capitella teleta. RNAcentral's name for it is "mir-981 microRNA precursor family". It matches the Rfam family "mir-981 microRNA precursor family". The record is from Rfam by way of RNAcentral. Lineage: Eukaryota; Metazoa; Annelida; Polychaeta; Capitellidae.
GUCUUUCAAUUCGGGUUUCGCGGUAUUCGAACACGUACCAAUAGCAGUUGUUCGUUGUCGUCGAAACCUGCUUUGAAAGA